This is a long non-coding RNA of Rhagoletis zephyria (snowberry fruit fly), 751 nucleotides long. RefSeq lists it as uncharacterized. The record is from RefSeq and is a predicted model, not a curated record. Lineage: Eukaryota; Metazoa; Arthropoda; Insecta; Diptera; Tephritidae.
GGUAAUCGAAUUAUCUUCCAAAUGUGGUUAACGGGUAGAAAAGGGGUAAACAAACAACCACGUCUGUAUUUAUAUAUACGUAUUUGAAACUUAACUGAAACAAUGUUAGUAUGGGUCACCUUCGUAUGCGAUAAUAAAUGGAGAAAUGGGUUUAUAGUGCUGUAAAUCUAUUGUAGUGGGAAAUAUUGUGAACGUGUGUAUAAAAAUCUUUUAAAGUGGGUGGGGCAAGCUACCCUGCCAGCCACGGCUCACCACUUUCCCCUGAAAAUCAAACGAUUCACCAACACAUACCCAACUUUUUUGUCAUCUCACCCACACACUCAAAAGUUGUCGAAAACAAUUUCCAUAAGUAAGAGCAGCGUAGCUAAUACGAAUUCGCAAUCUUAUUAGAACUAAAUGCGUUAGAGCGAGCAAGUGAAAGUAAGGCGAAAUUUGGCAGCGAAUUUCAAAUUUGAUACUAGUAGGCUGCGAAGAAAAAUAUCAAUUUCGCGCGAAAUUUUGGAGGUAAGAGGAAUUUGUCAAUUGUAGUUUUUCUUUUAUAAAAUAUAUAUUUUAUAUAUCCCAACAUCAGGAGCGAUCAAAACCCAACAUCUGGAGCCAUCAAAACCUUGAAGAUUGCCAAACAUCUGCAAGACAUCCACAGCACACUGAACACCAUUGGUCACCAACAGCUCUCAACAUUGUUCGGUCGUGGAAUACAGACAGUAGAAGUCAGCGGAGAUUAGAUAUAUAUAUAAAUUUUAUCUCUAAU